Dreissena polymorpha is the source of this 248-nucleotide long non-coding RNA. RefSeq lists it as uncharacterized. The transcript is spliced from 3 exons. NCBI's taxonomy places the organism in Eukaryota, Metazoa, Mollusca, Bivalvia, Myida, Dreissenidae. The record is from RefSeq and is a predicted model, not a curated record.
UAGGAUUACUAUAUGUAUACGUCAAUGUCGACAAUCGCGAUUAUUUUUAAGUUUUAAAGCGCAAACUGACGGAUUUCUACCUUGUAACCAUCAGAAAUAUUAUUAUUGGCAUAGAUUAAAUUAAAUCUAUAGCCUAGUAAGCAGAUGAGCAGUGACUGAUACACAGAUAUCAACAUGAAGCUUGCGAACCUUGUGACAGUGUUUCUAGUACUGGCAAUGGCUGUCGCUUUACCCGAUUAUCUACAAGG